AAUAGAUACCCAGGUAGUCCACGCUGUAAACGAUGGGCACUAGGUGUCCGGGGUAUUGACCCCCUGGGUGCCGCAGCUAACGCAUUAAGUGCCCCCGCCUGGGGGAGUACGGCCGCAAGGCUAAAACUCAAAGGAAUUGACGGGGGCCCGGCACAAGCAGCGGAGCAUGUGGUUUAAUUCGACGCAACGCGAAGAACCUUACCAGGGCUUGACAUCCCCUGACCGCGUAUGAAAGUACGUUUUCUGCCUUCGGGGCAGACAGGGAGACAGGUGGUGCAUGGUUGUCGUCAGCUCGUGUCGUGAGAUGUUGGGUUAAGUCCCGCAACGAGCGCAACCCUUACGUUUAGUUGCUAACGUGUAAUGAUGAGCACUCUAGACGAACUGCCGUUGACAAAACCGGAGGAAGGUGGGGAUGACGUCAAAUCAUCAUUCCCCUUAUGUUCUGGGCUACACACGUGCUACAAUGGCCGGUACAAAGGGAAGCGAAGCCGCGAGGUGGAGCAAAUCCGAUAAAACGCCGGUCUCAGUUCGGAUUGCAGGCUGC
This 544-nucleotide ribosomal RNA is filed under the name uncultured bacterium. Its description in RNAcentral is "bacterial SSU rRNA". It matches the Rfam family "Bacterial small subunit ribosomal RNA", at positions 777 to 1308 of the family's 1533-position model. The record is from RNAcentral.